AACCCUGGCAGCGAGCGGCGAACGGGUGAGUAAUGCAUCGGAACGUACCCUGGAGUGGGGGAUAACGCCGCGAAGGCGGCGCUAAUACCGCAUAUGCUCUGAGGAGGAAAGUGGGGGACCGCAAGGCCUCACGCUCUGGGAGCGGCCGAUGUCCGAUUAGCUAGUUGGUGGGGUAAAGGCUCACCAAGGCGACGAUCGGUAGCUGGUCUGAGAGGAUGAUCAGCCACACUGGGACUGAGACACGGCCCAGACUCCUACGGGAGGCAGCAGUGGGGAAUUUUGGACAAUGGGGGCAACCCUGAUCCAGCCAUGCCGCGUGAGUGAAGAAGGCCUUCGGGUUGUAAAGCUCUUUUGGUCGGGAAGAAAGUGCCUUGCCUAAUAAGCGAGGUAUUUGACGGUACCGGCAGAAUAAGCACCGGCUAACUACGUGCCAGCAGCCGCGGUAAUACGUAGGGUGCGAGCGUUAAUCGGAAUUACUGGGCGUAAAGCGUGCGCAGGCGGUUGGUUAAGUCUGAUGUGAAAGCCCCGGGCUCAACCUGGGAAUGGCAUUGGAAACUGGCCAGCUGGAGUAUGACAGAGG
Molecule: ribosomal RNA, 580 nt
Filed under: uncultured bacterium
Lineage: Bacteria
Description: bacterial SSU rRNA
Rfam family: Bacterial small subunit ribosomal RNA
Source: RNAcentral